CCAAUAGCGUAUAUUAAAGUUGUUGCAGUUAAAAAGCUCGUAGUUGAAUUUCGGGAUUAGUACGUUGGUCGUGCCUUGGUACGUACUGGUGUAACUGAUUCCUCCCUUCUGACGAACCGUUAUGCCAUUAAUUUGGUGUGGCGGGAAAUCAGGACUGUUACUUUGAAAAAAUUAGAGUGUUUAAAGCAGGCUCGCUCUUGAAUACAUUAGCAUGGAAUAAUGAAAUAGGACGUUAAUCCUAUUUUGUUGGUUUCUAGGAUCGACGUAAUGAUUAAUAGGGAUAGUUGGGGGCAUUAGUAUUCAAUUGUCAGAGGUGAAAUUCUUGGAUUUAUUGAAGACUAACUACUGCGAAAGCAUUUGCCAAGGAUGUUUUCAUUAAUCAAGAACGAAAGUUAGGGGAUCGAAGACGAUCAGAUACCGUCGUAGUCUUAACCAUAAACUAUGCCGACUAGGGAUCGGAUGAUGUUAAUUUUUUAAUGACUCAUUCGGCGCCUUACG
Molecule: unclassified non-coding RNA, 498 nt
Filed under: uncultured Glomus
Lineage: Eukaryota; Fungi; Glomeromycota; Glomeromycetes; Glomerales; Glomeraceae
Description: SSU rRNA
Rfam family: Eukaryotic small subunit ribosomal RNA
Source: RNAcentral